GGGCCCGUAGCUCAGAAUGGUAGAGUGCCGGGCUUUUAACCCGGUGGUCGCGGGUUCAACUCCCGCCGGGCCCGCCA
RNAcentral lists this transfer RNA (77 nucleotides) under Candidatus Bathyarchaeota archaeon. Its description in RNAcentral is "tRNA-Lys". It matches the Rfam family "tRNA". Rfam says of the family: Transfer RNA (tRNA) molecules are approximately 80 nucleotides in length. Their secondary structure includes four short double-helical elements and three loops (D, anti-codon, and T loops). Lineage: Archaea; Thermoproteati; Candidatus Bathyarchaeota. RNAcentral also lists the same sequence under 1 other name. The record is from RNAcentral.